GAUGAAGAACGCAGCGAAAUGCGAUAAGUAGUGUGAAUUGCAGAAUUCAGUGAAUCAUCGAAUCUUUGAACGCACAUUGCGCCCUUUGGUAUUCCUUAGGGCAUGCCUGUUCGAGCGUCAUUUAACACCUUCAAGCUCCGCUUGGUGUUGGGCGUCUGUCUGCUCACGCGGACUCGCCUCAAAAUCAUUGGCGGCCGGUACAUUGGCUUCGAGCGCAGCAGAAACGCGAACUCGAGGACGGUGGAUCAGCUCCCAGAAGCAAACCCCCCAAUUUUGACCUCGGAUCAGGUAGGGAUACCCGCUGAACUUAAGCAUAUCAAUAAGCGGAGGA
Molecule: unclassified non-coding RNA, 331 nt
Filed under: soil metagenome
Description: partial contains 5.8S ribosomal RNA, internal transcribed spacer 2, and large subunit ribosomal RNA
Rfam family: 5.8S ribosomal RNA (bases 1-120)
Source: RNAcentral